UGGUUUAUAAUUUAAGUUAUAAUUUAAAAAUAAUAAUUUUUAUAUAUUAUAUAUUUUAAUAUGUAUUUUAAUAAAAAUUAUUUAUUAAUUGUAAUGAAUUAUAUGUUAAUAUAUGUUAAAAUUACUAAAUAUCUAAAUAUCUAAUAUUAAUAAAUAGUAAUAGAUAAAUAUAUUUAAACAAAAAUAUUAAAUAUUUUAAUUAUACUUAAAUAUUUUAAUUAUACUUAGAUUAA
This 233-nucleotide transfer RNA is filed under the name Pneumocystis jirovecii. RNAcentral describes it as "tRNA-Pseudo(AAT)". The record is from RNAcentral. Lineage: Eukaryota; Fungi; Ascomycota; Pneumocystomycetes; Pneumocystales; Pneumocystaceae.